GACGAACGCUGGCGGCGUGCUUAACACAUGCAAGUCGAACGCUGAAGCUUGGUGCUUGCACUGGGUGGAUGAGUGGCGAACGGGUGAGUAAUACGUGAGUAACCUGCCCUUGACUCUGGGAUAAGCCUGGGAAACUGGGUCUAAUACUGGAUAUGACAUGCCACUGCAUGGUGGUGUGUGGAAAGGGUUUUACUGGUUUUGGAUGGGCUCACGGCCUAUCAGCUUGUUGGUGGGGUAAUGGCCUACCAAGGCGACGACGGGUAGCCGGCCUGAGAGGGUGACCGGCCACACUGGGACUGAGACACGGCCCAGACUCCUACGGGAGGCAGCAGUGGGGAAUAUUGCACAAUGGGCGAAAGCCUGAUGCAGCGACGCCGCGUGAGGGAUGACGGCCUUCGGGUUGUAAACCUCUUUCAGCACGGAAGAAGCGAAAGUGACGGUACGUGCAGAAGAAGCGCCGGCUAACUACGUG
This 472-nucleotide ribosomal RNA is filed under the name uncultured bacterium. RNAcentral describes it as "partial 16S ribosomal RNA". It matches the Rfam family "Bacterial small subunit ribosomal RNA", at positions 28 to 507 of the family's 1533-position model. The record is from RNAcentral.